AGAGUUUGAUCCUGGCUCAGGAUGAACGCUAGCGGCAGGCUUAACACAUGCAAGUCGCGGGGCAGCGCGGGUAGCAAUACCUGGCGGCGACCGGCGGAAGGGUGCGUAACGCGUGAGCAACAUGCCCGUAUCAGGGGGAUAACCGAUGGAAACGUCGCCUAAUACCCCAUAACAACGAGGGCCGCAUGACCCAUGUUUGAAAGUUACGGCGGAUACGGAUUGGCUCGCGUGACAUUAGCUGGUUGGCGGGGUAACGGCCCACCAAGGCUACGAUGUCUAGGGGUUCUGAGAGGAAGGUCCCCCACACUGGAACUGAGACACGGUCCAGACUCCUACGGGAGGCAGCAGUGAGGAAUAUUGGUCAAUGGGCGCAAGCCUGAACCAGCCAUGCCGCGUGCAGGAAUGAGGCCCUAUGGGUCGUAAACUGCUUUUGCUGCGGAGCAAUAAGUGCCACGUGUGACACGAUGAGAGUACGCAGCGAAUAAGCAUCGGCUAACUCCGUGCCAGCAGCCGCGGUAAUACGGAGGAUGCGAGCGUUAUCCGGAUUUAUUGGGUUUAAAGGGUGCGUAGGCUGUUCGUCAAGUCAGUGGUGAAAUGCCGGGGCUCAACCCCGGAGCUGCCAUUGAUACUGUCGGGCUUGAAUCCGGUCAAGGCCGGCGGAAUGUGGCGUGUAGCGGUGAAAUGCAUAGAUAUGCCACAGAACACCGAUAGCGAAGGCAGCUGGCCGGGCCUGCAUUGACGCUGAGGCACGAAAGCGUGGGGAUCGAACAGGAUUAGAUACCCUGGUAGUCCACGCUGUAAACGAUGGACACUCUUUGUCGGCCAAAAAAAGUCGGCGGGCCAACAAAAAUGAUAAGUGUCCCACCUGGGGAGUACGGUCGCAAGGCUGAAACUCAAAGGAAUUGACGGGGGCCCGCACAAGCGGAGGAACAUGUGGUUUAAUUCGAUGAUACGCGAGGAACCUUACCCGGGCAUGAACUGCAGGAGAAGUAUACAGAGAUGUUGACGUCCUUCGGGACUCCUGUGGAGGUGCUGCAUGGUUGUCGUCAGCUCGUGCCGUGAGGUGUCGGCUUAAGUGCCAUAACGAGCGCAACCCCUCUCGUCAGUUGCCAUCAGGUAGUGCUGGGCACUCUGGCGACACUGCCACCGUAAGGUGCGAGGAAGGUGGGGAUGACGUCAAAUCAGCACGGCCCUUACGUCCGGGGCUACACACGUGUUACAAUGGGUGGUACAGAGAGUAGGGUGCCGGCAACGUCGCCCCAAUCAACAAAGCCAUCCUCAGUUCGGAUUGGGGUCUGCAACCCGACCCCAUGAAGCUGGAUUCGCUAGUAAUCGCGCAUCAGCCAUGGCGCGGUGAAUACGUUCCCGGGCCUUGUACUCACCGCCCGUCA
This 1391-nucleotide ribosomal RNA is filed under the name uncultured bacterium. RNAcentral describes it as "16S ribosomal RNA". It matches the Rfam family "Bacterial small subunit ribosomal RNA". The record is from RNAcentral.